CUUUUUGCCUUUUCUAGAGCCGCUCCCGCAGCAUAUGGAGGUUCCCAGGCUAGGGGUCGAAUCAGAGCUGUAGCCGCCGGCCGACACCACAGCCACAGCAACCCCAGAUCCGAGCCAUGUCUGCAACCUACACCACGGCUCAUGGCAACGCCGGAUCCUUAACCCACUGAGCAAGACCAGGGAUAGACCCUCAUGUUUCCUAGUCGGAUUCGUUAACCACUGAGCUGCAACGGGAACUCCUCUAAAUCCCAAAUCUUAAAUCCUCUUAGUGGCAGGGGGUCCCAAGCUUGGCAGUCUGGUUUAGGAGCCUGCACUCUUAACUGCUAAGAUAUACUACCUGAAAAAAUGAAUAAUUAAGCAUUAGUCUCUGAAUUUUGUGUGCUCCUGUCAUUGGCUGAGAGUAAGGUACCCCAGCUGUCAACUGUACCUAUACUUACUCUGCCAGCAACAUGGGCUUCCCCAGCUACUUAACAAAGCCGUCCUGCUUUCUCUGACUUUCUGAAUGGCAUGGCAUUCAGCCUGAAACAGAUUUCCCACUGGCACAGACAAGACAAAAACACGAACAUUUGGAUAAUAUUUUAAAACUUAUAAAUAGAAAUAUUUUAAUUUGAUCCUCACAGCAAAUAUGUGAAAUAUUAUAAGCAACCUCUUUCAAAAAGGAGAAAUCUAACACACACAGCUGAUGAGCUAGGGAGUGCAGACUCCGACCCCAGUCGGGGUCAGCGCAAGAUCUGGUGGUUUGGCCCAAGCUCCAAUGCUUUUCUCCGUCACACUAUGCUGCUUCACCACACAUGCUUGUCUAUACCACCCCAACCUCUAGAAUCCCCGCUAGUCUAUUGGAAAUGGGAUAUUGACUCUGAACCACUGAUCUUAGAUUAGAAAGGAGCUGAGUACGAUGCAGCUAUGCUUAGGUCUUCAGAGGCUCCAAGGUAAAAUUGGUGAAAGAUGUGUAUCUGGGCCUAUUUAUUCAAAGGAUAAAUUUGAUGACUGUAUACAAUGUGUUAAGCCUGUGUUGUCCAAUGCAGGAGCCACUGGCCACAUGUGGUUUUUGAGCAGUUGAUUUAGUAGUUGACUAGUGUCACUGGGGAACUGAGUUUUUACUAUUACUUCAUUUUUGUUACUUUAUAUUUAAAAUUAAAAAUGGGAACAAUGUAAAAUACAUUUCUAUUAAUACAGUUUUAUUGUUUUGGUAGAAGUAUCUUUCACUUUAGGUUUCCCACUGCACAUGUAUAGUAAUGCCCUUAUGUGAAUGCCUUGUUUCUACUAAUACACAUAAACACAACAAUGAUCUAGCAGGAGCUGAUGGCUUGAAUAAUUUUCUUCUCUACAUGCAACAUUGUAGUAUGUUUCUUGGAAUGCUUUAUUCCAACAGCUCCAAUUGCAGGGAUAACUAUGUAAACUGUAAUUUAUAAUUGAACUGAAACACGUGCUAAUAUUUUAAUUAUGCUACAAUUAAAUUAUUCUUUAGCAUAAAAAUAAGCAUGGACAAGAUUCUAAAAUUUAAAACAAAAGCAGACUACUGAUGCAGAAUUGAGUGGAGAUAGCAAAGCCAAUACUAUGAUCAGAAUAGAAAAGAAAAUAAGACACUGGAAGAAAAAUACCGUAAAUUUUACAGAGAAUGGCGGUUGCAAUUUGCCACAGCAGAAAAAAACAAAGAUGAUUUCUGUUUUGUUUUAAAAAAAAAAGAUAAUAGACAAACAUUAGAGAUAUUUAUAGCAAAUACGGUAAAUUAGAUAAGUUCCUUCUCAGCAGUCAAAAAAUAAUUGACUAAACUAGUCACCUGAUAUCAGAAUUAAAUAUCAAUCCAUAAAAAUUUUAAAGAUUUUUAACAGACUCUGAGCUUCUAAUUUUGGCUAGCUAUGAAAUGACUUAGAUUCUUAUAUACGCAUACACAAAACUAUUUUUGACAGAUAAUAGAAUGAAUUAUUAUUCCAAUUCCGAAAAAAAUUUUUGGCUGUGCCCAUAGCACGCAAAACUUCCCAGGCCAGGGCUUGAACCUGCAACACAGCAGCAACUGGAGACACAGCAGUGACAACACUGGAUCCUCAAACUGCUAGGUUACUGAGAAACUUUUUUUUUUUACUUAUGAAAAUUAUAAGGAAAAUACUAAAAGCGACAUUAUAUAAAAAGUGGAAGAUCUUUAAUUAAGUUAGCAAACUAUUGUCCAUGGGCUAUAGAGCUCUAACAACAUCAAAGAUCGAUUAUUACAAAUUUGAAGGAUUUUUUUCAGCUUUUAAUGAACUGGGAAAUCUAAGAGACCCUGCUCAAUUAAUACGUGCGCACAUGUCAUUUCAAAUUUAUAAUAAAUUUUGUCAACCUGUGGCCUAAAGUAUGGAACUUGUGGCCCAGAUAGUUUUUCAUCUUUUGUACAUAUCAAAGAAGAAUUUUACUUAGCUGUAGGAAGGAAGAAAUGUUUCAGUCACAACACACGAUGCUUUAGCUACGCCAGAUUUUUUUUUUUUUUAAUCCUGAUUUUUUUGGAAGUUUUAAACAACGGACUGAUAGUCUAUUGUUUCAUUUCAUUGUAUGAUAUAUAUUGAAAACAUCUGGACUAAGUUUCUGAAGCAGUCUUUAUGAAAAGUGUCAUGUUUGCAGUUGUUAGAAGUCUUUAGUACAUAUAUGUAAAUGUUAUGAAUCACUGUCAGUUUACAAAUCUGUUGAAAAACACCAAAGACAAUGAGGUCAAUGAUCUUGUGGGGUUUUUGUCCAGUUGAGUCAUGUUGUAAAAAUUUACAGUAAACUCCAAAAUUUUCUUGAAACAAAAUUCAGUAAGUCAAAGACAAAGCACGUGAGUGUGAUUAACCCUUCCUAGCCAAUAUCACACUACAUAUGAAUGAGCCAAACUUGAAGUUUCAUGGAAAGGAAAAGCUUUGUGACCCAGGUUUAUUGGUAUGAGAAUUUGCUAAGAUAAAAAUUCCAUUGCACGCACAUACCAAAUAAAUAAAUAAAUAUUCCAUUACACAUAUCAAUAAUAAUUAUUUUACACAUUUUUCUAAUGGAAAUACAUAUGCCACAGUUAGUAACUAAAAUUGAAUGAAUUAUGUACUUUGGCUGCAAAAAUGACAAGAACAAUUUGAAGGACUAUUUUUGGAGUAAACUUAGAACUGCUUUUCAAUUUAUACAAUAUCCUUUUGCACCCAGGGUUAAUACUGUGUUUACACAAGAGUUAAUGAAUCUAUUAUGGACAGUCGUAGUUUUGAAAUGGAUAUGCAAGUUAGCUUCAAAGCUUAAUUAAUUGCUCUAAAAAUGAUGGGCCAGUUUUGUCCAUGUGAGUUUAAAUAUUAAAGUAAAAUAAUAUUUUUGGUAUUUAAUUCCAUUUUUAGAAAACUUUUAAGUAAGCUUGGAACAGUGCAAGUAUAUGACUAUAUUUUUUUGAGAAGAAAUUUUAUGAACUCUAAAUGUGGAUCCAGUGUUUCUGAUGAAACUUUGGUUUCUGAGUUGAGAUGUACUGGAAGUGUAAAAUACCUAUCAAGUUUUGAAAACCUGAUGUGAUAAAAAGAAUGUAAAUGAUAUCAUUGGUUAUUUUCCACACCAAUUAAGUAGUAAUGUUUGGAUGUACUGGGUUAAGUAAAACAUUAUGAAAAUGAAUUUCCUUUGUUUCUUUUUAUUUUUUAAAGUGGCUACUAAAAAUUUUUUAAUUAUAUGUGUCUUUCAUUAUAUUUCUAUUGGACAAUACUAACCCUUUGAGUUGGUCAGAGGAUAGAGAGGUGAAUAAGACCUUUCUAUCAAGAAGAAAGCUAAGCACAGACAUCCUAUUGUAAAAUCAUGUGGAAGUUAAAUGACAGACUCCAAAAGACGUGGAAGAAGUCUCAAUGAGAGUGCCUAACUCAGAUUGGGGAAAACAUGGAAGACUUCUUGGAGGAAGUGAUAGCAGGAUACGGCCUUAAAAGAGGAGUAAGUAAUAAUAAAUAAGAAAAAAUAAAAAUGGCUUUCCAAUGGAGUAGUUAUUAUCCGCAAAGACCUAAAGAGGUAAAAUUGUAUACUCAUGUAGGGUAUAAAAGUGGAUCUGGUUUACUAGGUUGUAAAUGUGAGAGUGUGGCCAGAGACUAGGGUGGAGAGGUAGCUGGAUCCUGAUAGGCCUUGUAGACCAUGCUAGCCUUGGGACUAAUUCUGGAGGUGAUGGCUCAUGGCUUAAGUUGGAUACUCAGGCAGUAAACUCUGUAAACUCUAAUUCCAGGAAGUUUUUCUUUCCUAAUCUGUUUCACUGGGGAAGUGGGAGCACUGAUCAUUUUCACUGCNAUUGGAUGAACAAGAAUGGUACCAUUCUUGUGAGAUGAAAUUUUAUAUUGUAUGGCAGCUGGUUUCAUGUCAUUGGAUUCAGGUCUUCUCCAUACAUAUGUCAAACACAGCUGAUUGAUUUCAGAGCCUGAAGUCUUAAAUUUCCGCAAUUAUUUAUUCCACUGAUUGCUGUCUGUUAUAUAUUUGUUUGUGAUUUAUAUUGACCCACUGGAGUAUAAAUUUCACAAAGCAGUGUCUCUGCUGUGUUCACCACUGUAUCCCUAGCACCUAUGAUAGAGCCUCACAGAUAGUACGUGCUCAGUAAAUGUUUUUGAAUAAGUAACACAUUAGAUAAGAUGGUAACACCUACUGGUAACAUGUAGUAGCCCUACUGCAGUCUGUAGAUACCUGGAUAAGACACCUAAAGAAGGCAAAUUCCAUCAACACAUUAUCUUUGAAACAUGUUGACUUAACAGGUUCAAAAAAUGAAGGCAAGCAGAAAGCCAAGGGAGGAAAAAAAUGCACAUCCAGAGAAAUAAGGGAGCCUAAUGUAGUGGAAGAAUGAGGACUUCACACUCAGACCAACACGGGUUUCAGUCCUCAACUCAGGUUUCUACUUGCUGUGUGACACUGUGUAAAGUAACUCACAUCUCUAAGCCUCAAUUUCUUCAACCUUAAAAAGGGGCAGUAAGAGUUCCCACCGUGGUAUAGUAGGUUAAGGAUCAGGGGUUGCCACAGCUGAUGUGUAGGUCACAGCUGUGACUGGGAUUCAAUCCCUGGCCUGGGAACCUCCACGAGUGUGACUGAAAAAGAGGCAGGGGCGGGAGGGGGCAGAAAAACCAGCAGUGUUUUGACACUGGAAAUAACACAUUUAAAGUGUGUGUGCCAAAGGACAGCUAGUGUUAGCUUCUGUGUAAGACAAUGGAAAGUGAGGGGUUUGCUUGACUGUUUCCAACUUUUCCUCCUUCAUUCUGGUCUAGGAGGAGCCUUCCAAUCAUUCUCAUGCAUGUGGCUUUUCAGAGGAGGUAGUUUCUUUGCUCAGUGCACAAUUGGCCAUUUCCUGGCCUUGUAUGACAAGUGAAUAAGGCCAAGCAUGGAUUGCCCAGGCUGCUGAUACCAGAAACCUCUCUCAGGAUAUUUUCCAGGCACUAGGAAAUCAAUAUCCACUGUCAGGCAGCUUCAAAGCUGAUUACCUUGAAAUGAAUGGUCAUGCCUCCUCUUUAGGUCUCCAUUCUCCCCUUGUUCAAAGGAUUGGCUGCAAUACAUUAGGUCCCUAAUUAAGAAGGAUGAUGCUCAGCAAAUGACUCCUCUGAGCAGAAUACUAAGCCACUGGAAAAGUUUUGGGGCAGGUCUUCUGGUAUCCACACAGAGGGACCAUAUGUGAAUAGAGUCGAUGCUGCCUUAAUUGGUCAUGGUGUAGGGAUUAUAUUUCACCGCUCUGCUGGGAGUAAUAAAGUCUAACGUUCUAAUCAGUGUGGCAGCCAAGAAAUGGAAACUUAGAAUCUGAGCUGCUCUGCUAUUCAGCCAGAGCCGGUGAAAAGGAAAUGGAUACUGCCUCAGCUGUUUGAAAAUACAGACCCUUCACCUAAUAAUAAAAACACCCUCAGCAGGAUGAAACCAGACCCUACAUCUAAUAAUAAUAAUAUUUCUGGAGUGAAGCCAACCUCGACUCAAACCUUUUGUCAUUUACUAUCCGUUUAGCCUAAAGGAUUUUGUUUGGCCUUUCUCAUAUUUGGUUUCAACAUUUAUCAAAUGGGAUUAUGAAAAGUACGUUAAAUAAAUAAUUUCUCAUAACUGGCAAAGUUUCUGGCACAGAGAAAGCUUGCAAACAAUGUCUCUUUCUCUUUCCCUACUAUUCACAAUGUCUUUACAUUUUUCAGAAGUUACCAGCUUGAGGUUUGAAUGGACAUGAGGGUCUUUACUGAUAAGCAUGCCUAUGGUUUUGAGCAGAUUCCCUAAGGUUUUUAUUUUUCUUUUCUUUUCUUUUUUUUUAACCUCAAAACAAGGCUAUCACUUGUAAAAAUCCUGUAAAAAUCACUGGUCUUUAUCUUUCUUUUAGGGUCUGGUUCCUGCCUCUCU
This 6297-nucleotide long non-coding RNA is filed under the name Sus scrofa (pig). Its description in RNAcentral is "lncRNA (ENSSSCG00015048228.1)". Lineage: Eukaryota; Metazoa; Chordata; Mammalia; Artiodactyla; Suidae. The record is from RNAcentral.